RNAcentral lists this unclassified non-coding RNA (498 nucleotides) under Saitozyma flava. RNAcentral's name for it is "contains ITS1, 5.8S rRNA and ITS2". The stretch from base 125 to 278 matches the Rfam family "5.8S ribosomal RNA". The record is from RNAcentral. Lineage: Eukaryota; Fungi; Basidiomycota; Tremellomycetes; Tremellales; Trimorphomycetaceae.
GGAAGGAUCAUUAGUGAAUGCCCUCACGGGCUUAACUAUCCAACCAACCUCUGUGAACUGUCGCCCUCGGGCGCUUCUAUAACAAACUAUAACUGUCAUGAACGUCGUAUACAAAAACAAACACAACUUUCAACAACGGAUCUCUUGGCUCUCGCAUCGAUGAAGAACGCAGCGAAAUGCGAUAAGUAAUGUGAAUUGCAGAAUUCAGUGAAUCAUCGAAUCUUUGAACGCACCUUGCGCCCUCUGGUAUUCCGGAGGGCAUGCCUGUUUGAGUGUCAUGUAGACUCAACCCCCCUGGUUUAUGAUCGGGAAGGGUUGGAUGUGGGCGCUGCCGAUUGCCGGCUCGCCUUAAAUCUCUUAGCGGCUCAGAAGCCCCGACCUAGCGUAAUAAGUUUCGCUGGAGAGGGUGUGGAUGACUGCUUACAACCGCCCUCGGGCAAUCUUUUGACUCUGGCCUCAAAUCAGGUAGGACUACCCGCUGAACUUAAGCAUAUCAAU